AUUCCAUGAUGAGGGCAUUUUCAUAACAAUUCUUUAAAUCUUACCAUGUCUCAUACAAGGACUUGCCAUCCAUCUGUUGGAAAGUAGUGAUUUCAUUCCGCAACU
Molecule: small nucleolar RNA, 105 nt
Organism: Gossypium raimondii (Peruvian cotton)
Lineage: Eukaryota; Viridiplantae; Streptophyta; Magnoliopsida; Malvales; Malvaceae
Rfam family: Plant small nucleolar RNA R71
About the family: R71 is a member of the C/D box family of snoRNAs containing the C (UGAUGA) and D (CUGA) box motifs. Multiple nearly identical copies of this snoRNA have been identified in Arabidopsis, and it is thought to function as a 2'-O-ribose methylation guide for 18S ribosomal RNA.
Source: Rfam